GGGGGGUGGGGGCGUGCUAUACAUGCAAGUCGAGCGGACAGAUGGGAGCUUGCUCCCUGAUGUUAGCGGCGGACGGGUGAGUAACACGUGGGUAACCUGCCUGUAAGACUGGGAUAACUCCGGGAAACCGGGGCUAAUACCGGAUGGUUGUUUGAACCGCAUGGUUCAAACAUAAAAGGUGGCUUCGGCUACCACUUACAGAUGGACCCGCGGCGCAUUAGCUAGUUGGUGAGGUAACGGCUCACCAAGGCAACGAUGCGUAGCCGACCUGAGAGGGUGAUCGGCCACACUGGGACUGAGACACGGCCCAGACUCCUACGGGAGGCAGCAGUAGGGAAUCUUCCGCAAUGGACGAAAGUCUGACGGAGCAACGCCGCGUGAGUGAUGAAGGUUUUCGGAUCGUAAAGCUCUGUUGUUAGGGAAGAACAAGUACCGUUCGAAUAGGGCGGUACCUUGACGGUACCUAACCAGAAAGCCACGGCUAACUACGUGCCAGCAGCCGCGGUAAUACGUAGGUGGCAAGCGUUGUCCGGAAUUAUUGGGCGUAAAGGGCUCGCAGGCGGUUUCUUAAGUCUGAUGUGAAAGCCCCCGGCUCAACCGGGGAGGGUCAUUGGAAACUGGGGAACUUGAGUGCAGAAGAGGAGAGUGGAAUUCCACGUGUAGCGGUGAAAUGCGUAGAGAUGUGGAGGAACACCAGUGGCGAAGGCGACUCUCUGGUCUGUAACUGACGCUGAGGAGCGAAAGCGUGGGGGAGCGAACAGGAUUAGAUACCGGGGUUAAGAUCAUCUUC
This 790-nucleotide ribosomal RNA is filed under the name Bacillus mojavensis. RNAcentral describes it as "bacterial SSU rRNA". It matches the Rfam family "Bacterial small subunit ribosomal RNA", at positions 31 to 802 of the family's 1533-position model. The record is from RNAcentral. Lineage: Bacteria; Bacillati; Bacillota; Bacilli; Caryophanales; Bacillaceae.